AUUUUACUUUUAUCAACUUUAAAAAAUGACCAUAAUUUGUUCAGAAAAUAUUUUGUCAAGAGUUUAGCUCAUAAAAAUACUGAAUGUUAGCUUGGUGAUCUAAUAAGUCACUCCCCACAUUAUGGUUGAGAAAAGACACAAUAAUAAACCAAAAUAUGGAGCCAAUAAUAAUUUCCUUCAAAAACCUUGCAUAUCUACAGAUGAAUCAAAGGGGAAGAAAACAACCAGACAACAAGCAAGUCCCUGGAGAGUGCCUAGCUGUCUGACAGUCCAUGUUUACUCAUUCAAAGAUGCCCUUCACAUAUCCUGACCCUCUUUCCAGCACUUCCACUGCUCAAUGCGGAACAUUAUUCUGACUAAUGAUUCCCUUCCAAUCAAGUUUAAUAGUUGUUUUCAUCUCUUCAGCACUGAGAACUCCAUAUAUCUGUUUCUUUUCAAAUAUGGUUUUAAUUCAGGAAAUACAAAAAUGUACAAGAAAAAAUGAUAAAUCGAUGCCUCUUGUGAGUAUAGUAGCAUCAGUAUAAUAGAAAGAACACUGACCUCAGAAUUAGAACACUCUGGUUUGAAGUCAAGACCUUCUGAGCCUUGGUUUCUUCCUCUAAGGAUAUUAACCUCUCAACAUUUUCUAAUUCAUAACAUUCAUCUAAUGACUAAGUGAAUGAAUCUCACAGGAUCAUCUCUCUCUGUCCUAUUCUACUUUGUCAUCCCUCUUUGCCUUUUCUUAUUUAAUACCACUCCUUCAUACUACCUCCUACCUCCUUCCUUUUGUACUCCCAAUUACGCAGUGGUUUCCUUUUCUGUGACUUUUCACUUGCAGUCACUUCUCUUGGUUUCUUUAUUUACUUUGUAUCUCUAUCUCCUUUUCUCUUUUCCCACACCCACCUUAUGCUUGGAAAAGCCUCCUGUUUUACAUUUCCAAAGUCAACUUCUUCCUGUCACACAAAACCUAACAAAAUUCACUCCCUCUGCCUUUUAUAUGCUCGCAGCAAACAAUAAAUGAUUAAAGUGCUGAUGGUAAACUCAUCUGCAAAAAACAUGUAUUCUGAGCAAUGGAUUUUGGCAAAGAAAAGAUAGGGAGGAACUGCAACCCACUUAGUAAUUUCUCUAACCAACCGUUAACACAUUUGUGCUACCAUAAUUAUUGCUCUGGCAAAUACUACAUUGUCAUAGAAACAUUGUUUCCCAAACACUUAUUUAUAGAUUUUAUUGGUGGCAUAUGUUAACCGUGAAGCAGUUUCCAUAGUGUUGUUGUGAGCUUUGACAAUGAAGAGUGAUAAGGAACACGAUUCAGCUUCCACAGUUGACCCACUAAUUGGAAGUCUGUAAAACAAGAAAUUUUCCCAGACUUUCUAUAUGUCAAGGUGAGUAGAGCUGGUGAUCCCCCAGAUGCACUUCUUAUCAUAAGGUUUAUUGCCCCAAGGAAGAGAAGUAAAUGAACCACCUAGAGGUAAGAAGUUCACAAGGGAGAAAAUGAGGCUAGAACACAGGGUUUGAUCUCAUUUGACCAACUGUGCAAGGGAGGGAAGGAUAUCCUGAGUCUCAGGAAAGUAGCAUCUCAAUCUCCUUGGACUUGAUUCUAGGAGUGAGAGCAAUACAAAAAAGGGAAAAAAAAAAAAAAAAAAAAAAAACAAGAAACAAAGGGAAGGAGAGAGGAGGGAAGGGGAAAGGAGGGGGAUAAAGGGAAAGGAACGGAAAGGAAUGGAAAGACACAACAAAAGCCCAGAUAGUAUAAAGGGGCAACAGAAGUAAAGGGGAUCUGUUACCAUUUCCUAUUUCAAAACUGGCUAGCAGGCUGCCCCGGAGCUGACAUGACAGGUAAGGCAGAAUAAAGUGGUGGUGUGGCAGAGGGAAGGCAGGAGAGCACCUCUACAUCCUUUUAGCACAAAUGUGACAGGCCCACUUGCCAGGGGUUAUGGGGAGGUAGCUGACAGUUGAGGUCCAAACUGUUUUGCCAAAGAGCCACUGAGGCGAGGGAUAAGAUGACCUCCUAGCAGAGACUUGGAGCUCACAAGCCUAGGCCGGGACUGGAUAGAAUGUUCCUCUAAGAUUCCAAAGAUCUGCAUGCCAAAAGAGCCAAGGUGAAGCCAACUUUGCUGUAGGCCUGCAUGAGAACCAUGGGGUCCCCACCAUAUUAAGUGGAUAUAGACUGUGAGGCACACAAGCCUUGGAUACCUCAUCAGCAGAGGCAGAGAGGACAAAAGCAAUUCUCAGACAUCCACUGUGCCUCAGCAAGAGGUCAAUAGGUGCUUGCAGGGUAGGACAACAGGUAGAUUAGUUGCUUCCCACUAAUGCUGUGGGAGCUGUGGAAAUAAAGACCAAUGAAAUGGUGCUAUAGCAAGGGAGUCAGCCACCAUCACUUUUGUUUUGCUGACACUCAAAGUCAGGGAGAGGACUGGGAAAGCUUUGUAGGGGAAAAAAAGGAAGGCUUCAGGUGUGCCUCAAUUAGAGGCUGUUGGUGUGGGAAAGCUGUAGGCAGGCUAACCAGAGCCAGGCAUGCUAUGGCAUUGAUUAGGGGUGCAUAUAUUUGGCUUUCACUGGGUUAGUCCUAAACUGGAAGUGCUUACAAAAAUUAGGGAAGCUGUCAGUUGUUAAUCAAGUCCUGGUUGUCUUUGGCUGAUUGUAACAGUAGUUAUUGUUAGGUUCUUGGAUUGUCACUAAGGAUAACAGUCUGGCUUCCUUUAAGUCGGACUUACAUAGCAGGCUGGCUUCCUGGGCUGUUUAUUGUAGAAAAGGGAGUCGGUUUCCUGGGCAGGUUGCUGCAGACUGUUGGUUGAAGUUCUAAUUUUUAUAUACAAUCUGGCCAAUGUCAGUUUGUAUAUUCAGUUUCUCAGAGCACAAAGUAUCCCCUGCCACCUGGGUGGCAUCUUGGAAAGCAGGUUGAGAAGGAACAACUCGAGAGAAGAGGAAUAGCUCUUUUGGAGAGUUCAAAUUUUGAAUUGAUUGGAUAUUUAUUUUUUAAAAAGACUGUGUUAGCCAUCAGUAGACUGUGAGGUACACAAGCCAUGGAUGCCUCAUCAGCAGAGGCAGACAGGACAAACAGAAAGAGACUGUUGCCUAAAAGUGAGGGAUUUACCACUAACGAUCAAUUUAGUUUUUGUUGUUUGUUAUUCUGCUAGCAACAGAACUAGAGAAUCCAAAGCAAGAUGAAAUCGGGUUAGGAAUAUAGAGAUUUACAUUUUUUGCACACACCAUCUGUAAUGUGCAAAUUUUGACCCUGUUUUAUUACACAUAGUUUACGAAUGAAGACUCUGACACUAAUAAGUGUUCAAAAUAACAAUCAUUAAAACCAUAUAUUUCAAGGUGCCACUUUCUGGGAUACCCAGGACACUUGAACAGAGAAAGGGGCAGUUAUGCCACUUGAGGGUCCAAACAAUGAACACAAACCCAAUAGACUACAGGUUGAGAAUGUGGAGAAAACACCCAUUCCCAAUAAAACUAACUCAUAGAUUUUCCAGUUUUGUGAAAUUUCAGAUUUUGCAUGCCAUUGUUCUUAUAAGCACAUACACAUGGCAAUCCAAGAGUUCCCAAGUUUGACCUCGAUAACAUGGACAGAAUUACUGAAUAAAACGAUAACAAUUUGGGAUCAAAUCACCCAAGCAAGCUAGGUGCUCUUGUCCUGGAAAAGAGUUCUCAGUGAGAACUUAGUGAGAGGCCCACACAGGCCUGUGGACCAAGCUUUCCACAACAGCACCUCUGUAAACUAACUUGGCUCACUUUGAAAAGCUGCAGACAAAGUCAAGGGAGCAGAGGUUAUUUAAGUAAAGAGAAUAAAUAGCUCUGGGCUCACUGUGAUUAGUUAGAAAAUAAAAUGAGAUUUGAUGAAGCACCUUUGUAUUCAUUCCAGAACUCCAAAUCACUUCUUAUUAUGAAUAUAGGGUAAUACAAGUUGAAUAUCAUAUAAUUAAUGUUCAUUUUUAACACUCUCUGGAAUUCUAAUUUUUAAAAGCCUCCCUUAAGAUGUCUUCCACCCUGACAGCCACAUUCUCAAAUGUUCUAAUGCCACCUAAAAAGACCAUGUUUCAUAAAUUCCACAUUGAUGUUAUAAUAAAGUAGCAGAAUAAUUUUAGGAUUUAUUUCCAUUUGAUGAUUGCCCUAUUGCUUUUGAAAAUAAUGACUCUCAAUUAUUCCAAUGUGAGAUGCAUUCACUUUAUUACAUUACCUAAAUUUGUCUAGAUAUUGCAAGGCUUUAGGCAGCUCCUAGUAAAGACACACAAUGUUCCUAUUUCUUUCAAUUACGCUUUUUAAUAUUAAUUUCCAAAAAUGGCAUUUUCCCUUAUUCUCUUAUUUACUAGAAAAUAAACAUUAGUGUGUUGUUCUUAAGCAUGGUGGUUUUACAUUUACACAUACGGUCCCUAUUUUUUCUUCUUAUUCGAUUAAGGAUAGAGGUAGGUAAUUAAAAUGAGUAUUUGACCACUUAAUUAUCUACUGUGUGCCUUUGCCACUUAUUGUGCUUACUCUUUUCAUUUUGCAAGAAGAAAGGCUCAGAAAAGCUAAAUAACUUGCCUAUGACAACACAGUAGUAAGUGAUAGACAUACUGGGUUUGUCUGAACCAUUGCCUCUCACUGCCAUUCCAGAGAGGGUGAGAGGGCCUGGUUCUCUUCACAUCACAUCAAGUCAGUACCCUCUCUUUGUCUUCUUUUUGUCCUCUCUUACCUGAUGCAGGAAGCUGCUCUUUAAGAAUACCGGCAAUGAAGCCAAGAGUUCUAGGUUCAAACUCUGUACCCUCAACAGGUAUUAGCUAUGUGAUAGAAAGUGCACUACUCCCAAUGCACCAAAAUUAAUACUAGUUUGGGUUAUAAAUUGCUCCGUAAAUCUCAGGGCUUAACCCAGUAAAAAGGUAUUUCUUGCUGCCAUCACAGUAUAACACAGGUAGGAAAAAUCUCCUCCACAUAGUGACUCAGGGAUCCAGGAUGUCUCCACCUUCUGGUUGCAAAGAUGUCCUCCCAUGACCCAGCUGACAAAUGAGAGGGAAAAGAGGGCAUGUGGGUGAAAGGCACUUUGACAUGUAACCAUUGGCCAGAACUGGUCACUUUUCAUCAGCCAACAGGUUUAAACUAAAUGCAAAGGAGACUGAGAAAAUAUCAGUGAGUACAUGGAUAUCAGUGAAUAACAGUUUCUGCCACAUUGGGCUAGUUUUUUUAUUAUUUUUUGUUUUCUUGAUUUGUCUAGGUCUCUGUUUCUUACUUCUAUGAAGUAAAGAUAAAGCACUUAGCAGUAUGCUUGGCACAUAAUGUGCAUUUACUCCAUGUUUUUAAGUUUAAUACAUUAUAUAAGUGUGUAAAUAGGCCCUCAAUAAAGAUGAAAAACUACGUUCUUUGGAUCAAUGAGAGGAAAACUGAGAGAAGAAAGUGGAUUUGCCAAACUAAACUUCAACAAAGAUCCCCAGGGCACAGUCUGGGGAUUUGAAGGCAUUCAGCAAAUGCUGUUCAACGAAGAAAUGAAUAAGAAGCUGUCAGAAUAUUUAAGACAUAUGGUGCAUAGGCCUCCCACCAAAGAAGUGACAGCAGGAAUGGAGAGAAAGAAGGACAUCAGAGGUAUUUAAAAGAAACAAUCGUCAGGACAUGGUGACUGGAUGAAGAAAUGACAAGACCCAGAAACAAUUACAAUGUCCAGCCAGAAAGGUCCGGUGGCACUUUGGUACAAUUGAAGACACUAGGAAAUGUAGAUGCGUAGGUAGAUUCCCCACGCCCUCUUUUUUUUUUUUUUUUUUUUUUUUUUUUUGGGAUGGAGUUUUGCUGUGUCACCCAGGCUGGAGUGCAGUGGCACAAUCUCGGCUCAUUGCAACCUCUGCCUCCUGGGUUCAGGCGAUUCUCCUGCCUCAGCCUCCUGAGUAGCUGGGAUUACAGGUGCGUGCCACCACGCCUAGCUAAUUUUUUAUUCUAGUAGAGACAGGAUUUCACUAUGUUAGCCAGGCUGGUCUUGAACUCCUGACCUUAAGUGAUCCACCUACCCGGCCUCCCAAAGUGCUGGGAUUAUAGGCAGAGCCACCACAUCUGGCUUUUCCCACCCCCUCUUAUUUCACCAGUUGAUAGUUCUUGGGGCCUGGGAGUGGAGUGGAAGAAAGUGAGGUGGAUGGGACAGUGAGAGCAAUGUAUGAUGUCCUAUUCUAAAAUAUAAAAUAAUAAUAAUGCAAAUAAUAAUGUAAAUAAGUCAACCACAUGCUCAAGAAUUAAAGAUAAGGCUUAAGAUACAGAUACAUAAUUAAAACUACACUAAGCUAUUGAUUCUCUGGCAAUACUUUUAAGGAUACCUCUAAUUCCAAAGGCCUAUUAUAUUUGACAAAAAGCCUAUACGAUAUGCAAGAAUUGUAUUUUCUCAAUAUCAACCAUCACAUUUAGAAAACCUUCAGAAAGCAUAUGUACAUAGUAUCUUAUGUGUAAGUGAAUGAGAAUUUUAUGAAUAAACUUUUUAAGGGAAUUAAGACAAUACAAUCGUCUGUAUCUGAAAUAAAGCAGAGACAAAGGCAAAGAUUAUAGCUAUGGAUGAGGUGAACUGAGUAUCAAUACAUUCUAAGAUAACAUAGAGUUAAUGAAAUUUAUUAAAUGAUCAAUACCAGUAUAAUAAAUAUCCUGGCAAUAGUAAAACUGAUAGCCCAUAAUAAAGAGGAAAAUAUAUUCGAAUAGUCUUCCAAGAAGACAAAAAUAUAAAUACAUGGAGUUGUUUUUUUUUUUUUGAGAGAUGGAGUCUUGCUCUGACACCCCAGCUGGAGUGCAGUGGUGUGAUCUUGGCUCUCUGCAAGCUCUGGCUCCUGGGUUCACGCUAUUCUCCUGCCUCAGCCUCCAGAGUACCUGGGACUACAGGUGCCCACCACCACGCCCGGCUAAUUUUUUUGUAUUUUUAGUAGAGACGGGGUUUCACCAUGUUAGCCAAGAUGGUCUCGGUCUCUUGACCUCGUGAUCCACCCGCCUCGGCCUCCCAAAGUGCUGGGAUUAUAGGCAUGAGACACCAUGCUCGGCUGGAGACAUUUUUUACCAGAAAUUAUUUUGUUCUAUCAAUUACUUUGAAGAUACACUAAGCAGUUAUGAAUUAGAUGAAAUUAGCAAAGGUUGCAACAAUGUUAGGCAUGAACUGGUGAUAAUGCUGAGCCCAUUUCAACCAGAAAUAGAUGAAUUUAGUUUUGCUUAAAGGAAAGAUGAUCAGCCCAGCCAGGCACUGACCUCAGUAAACCAUUUCUAAACAGAGGAAGCUCUAACUUCCUCAUUUUGCCCAAAAAUGCUGCAUUAUGGGAAGUCAAGCCUAGGUAUUUCCAGGGUUCUCACUCCAGCUGUCCAUUCAGCUGCAGCCUGAGCCACCUGUUGCUACCCACAAACCUCCUCAACCAAGGACAGUGGGGAUCUAGGACCGUGUCUUUUGCAUUGCUUCGUGUCUAAGGAAGGUUGAGACUGCUUAAGAAUAGGAAUUUCACUCUUGCAAUGUAGCUAAGUGUCAAGGUCUGGGAAAGAAUGCUGCUACCAAGGGUGGCUCCGCAGGCUUUUAUUUUGUCCCACAGCUUGGUUCCAGACACCAACUCUUUAUCCUUCAGUCACCCUAGGGUGACUAAUGUCUAUCAGAUGCCUCAAUGUAUCUUUAUAUUGAACCUAAAUCUUCUUGGGUUAACUUAUGGAGAAUGGACAGAAAUGACUUGGGGAAGAAUGAGUAUAACAAGUGAGCAUGUAUAGAACCCAAAAGAUCUGAAUAUGAAGGACUUUUGGGAAAUAAAUCACUCUUUUUCAGUUUAUUGCUGUAAACAGUGUCAAGCUUGCUUUCCAACUACUGCGUCACAUAAAUGCCAACUCAUUUUCAUGUACUUUCUGAAAGAGAUAACAGAAACAGCAAAACAACAAAUAUGAUUAUAAAAAU
RNAcentral lists this long non-coding RNA (7840 nucleotides) under Homo sapiens (human). Its description in RNAcentral is "HSALNT0199884". Lineage: Eukaryota; Metazoa; Chordata; Mammalia; Primates; Hominidae. The record is from RNAcentral.